UGAGACAGGGCCAUGAGAGUCCCCUUAAUUUGUCCUGAGAAGCAGGAUGACUGUCCCUUUUGUCCUGUUUAUGCUUCAUGGCCUUAAGGCCUCCGAGAUGCAACAGAAGUUAAGAGGCGCAAGAGAAGGCUAGAACAACACAGACACAAAAUUCACUAAACUCCGAAUUUUAGUGAAUUAAAUGAGAAUUGGAAGGUUGAGACCAAAAUAGACCAGAUGUGACUAUAGCAAAGUGGAGAAUGUUACUGGAUCAGUCAUUUUAGUCUGGAG
Non-coding RNA from Pelobates cultripes (western spadefoot toad), 270 nucleotides. Lineage: Eukaryota; Metazoa; Chordata; Amphibia; Anura; Pelobatidae. The record is from the annotation of a GenBank genome assembly.